GAUGAACGCUGGCGGCGUGCCUAAUACAUGCAAGUCGAGCGAAUGGAUUAAGAGCUUGCUCUUAUGAAGUUAGCGGCGGACGGGUGAGUAACACGUGGGUAACCUGCCCAUAAGACUGGGAUAACUCCGGGAAACCGGGGCUAAUACCGGAUAACAUUUUGAACCGCAUGGUUCGAAAUUGAAAGGCGGCUUCGGCUGUCACUUAUGGAUGGACCCGCGUCGCAUUAGCUAGUUGGUGAGGUAACGGCUCACCAAGGCAACGAUACGUAGCCGACCUGGGAGGGUGAUCGGCCACACUGGGACUGAGACACGGCCCAGACUCCUACGGGAGGCAGCAGUAGGGAAUCUUCCGCAAUGGACGAAAGUCGGACGGAGCAACGCCGCGUGAGUGAUGAAGGCUUUCGGGUCGUAAAACUCUGUUGUUAGGGAAGAACAAGUGCUAGUUGAAUAAGCUGGCACCUUGACGGUACCUAACCAGAAAGCCACGGCUAACUACGUGCCAGCCGCCGCCGUAA
This 515-nucleotide ribosomal RNA is filed under the name uncultured bacterium. RNAcentral describes it as "partial 16S ribosomal RNA". It matches the Rfam family "Bacterial small subunit ribosomal RNA", at positions 28 to 523 of the family's 1533-position model. The record is from RNAcentral.